Long non-coding RNA from Melospiza melodia melodia, 613 nucleotides. RefSeq lists it as uncharacterized. Lineage: Eukaryota; Metazoa; Chordata; Aves; Passeriformes; Passerellidae. The record is from RefSeq and is a predicted model, not a curated record. The transcript is spliced from 5 exons.
CACGAAACCGGCCUCACUUACCCAGAAAAUGACAUUGAAGCCGAAGAUGAAAUAUUUGAUGCAACAACUGACUUCAGGCCCCUUGUAGUGCUUUCCGGACAUCCUCUGCGCUCAUGAAGACGCUUUGCUCGCAGCCAGGAUGCAGAUAUAAAUGGACUUCUUCUGACUAAGACUGGCCAACUCUAAUAUUAAGAAGUGUGUCAAGUUUGAGAAGUUCAUGUCUUAAAAGAGGGAAAAAGAAACGCAAGCAGGAGUGACUCGAGAAGAAAAACAGCAGAGCAGCACAGUGAAGGCUGUAGUUCCGACACUUAAAACAGGUGGACCAAUCUGAACUUUGAGGUGUUUCCAUCCAUUAUCUAGGAAGAAUCUGUCAAGGAUUAUUUGCACAACAUCAGGUUUCUAGCAGUGAAGCUUGGAAUUGGCCAGGAACAUCAGACCAAGCGAGGUCACAGCUCCAUGCAACAUGCUAACUGUGAAAGUGGUAUUUAAAAUGUUCAGCCUGCCACCUGUAGAGCAAGAAAUCCUGAUACUCAAAACUAAUGGUUUCUUAUGCUUGAGACAGAUUCACUUGGCUAUGUUGAAUUAAAAAAAUAAAAUCUUUCUGCACACUGAA